GGUGCCACAACCUCCACCUGGCUCCCUCCCUCGGGACACUGGUCCUCUGAACACAGCCACCAUGUUAGGAGAAAGCCUGAGUGAGCCUAUGUGCAGCCAUCACAGGGAGAGAACCCGAGGCCUCACAGCAAAGGCAGUGCCGACCACAGACACGUGAAGUGAGCCCAGAGGUGACUGGAGCCCCAGCCUCGAGACUUGCCACUGAGGACAGGCCAGCCCCCUCCCCUGUGGCCCACAGAACCCAGGAGCACCACGGAGGGUCAUUUGCUGCAGUCAAUGGUGACAGCAGGGAGUCUGGGCCAGAGAACCAAGGAUAUAGGCUGCUGAGACCAGAAGACACCACGCAGAGCUGAGACAAGAGUUGACAGCCAGGUGGACAGUCGGUGGGGGCAGAAUUUUAACUGGUCUUCAACCAGCUUCCUUGUUCCCACGCUCUCUGAUGCAAGGUCGCCUGAAGGACCCUGUCUCCUCUGCAGCAGACACUGAGUGGCCUCUCUCCUCCUCCAGGGUCUGCCAACCCUCCAUGAUCACCUUUCGCCGCCUCUGCCAUCAAAUGCACCCCACAGCAGAGUGAUUUCUCGGGCCGGUCGUGGGCCUUGGCCAAGUGCGUGGCAGGGUCGUUCUGUGGACUUUCCAGCCACCUCUUCCAAGCUGGCAGAUGUGCGGCUGUAUCUUUAAGACUGUACCUCUCACUUCACUUUUGAAUCAAAAUCCAACCGCUAAGAAUAUUGUGAUGUAUCUGGAUAAGCAUCGCCUCAAGUUGCCUCUUCAUGUGCUUUGUGACUCUUUUGAAGAUUGUUUUCUUUUAAAUUUAGAGGAUUUAAGUGAGAGUAACAUAAUACAUUACGUACUAUUCCAUUGUCCUGGAGUUUCUUCCUCCCACCCAACCUACCCAGCAGAACCCUGGACUUGCUCAGAAACCAGAUAAUUAAGUGCUUUUCUAUGUUAUCCAAGUCCUAGUUGUGCGCCUCCUCGUCAGCAUGAGGCUCAUUGUGAGAUGCACUGCAGGAGGUAUGAGGCUCCAAAUUCCCUGCUUUGAGUGACAUAAAUUGUAUAUAAAGUUCCCAAUGAAAUAAAAUUAUCACAAUGUAUUCCAAACUUCAGCCCUGCCAAUUACAUGUGUUGAAGGGCUAAAAGAAAUUGGUUUGA
Canis lupus familiaris (dog) is the source of this 1149-nucleotide long non-coding RNA. RefSeq lists it as uncharacterized. The transcript has 3 exons. NCBI's taxonomy places the organism in Eukaryota, Metazoa, Chordata, Mammalia, Carnivora, Canidae. The record is from RefSeq and is a predicted model, not a curated record.